UUCGAGGUAGUGACGAGAAAUAACAAUACAGGGCAUUAAAUGUCUUGUAAUUGGAAUGACUUAAAUCCAAACCCCUUUCGGAGUAACAAUUGGAGGGCAAGUCUGGUGCCAGCAGCCGCGGUAAUUCCAGCUCCAAUAGCGUAUAUUAGCGUUGUUGCAGUUAAAAAGCUCGUAGUUGGAUUUCUGUUGGGUUCGGCCGGUACACUUUUGUGUAACCUGGUUUCCCCCAGCAUUUUCUCGGUAGCUCUCCUUCCUUUACCGGUUGGUUUGUAUUUCCGAGACUUUUACUUUGAGAAAAAUAGAGUGUUUCAAGCAGGCUUUUGCCUUGAAUACUGCAGCAUGGAAUAAUAAGAUAGGACUUUGGUUCUAUUUUGUUGGUUCUAGAACUAAAGUAAUGAUUAAUAGGGACAGUUGGGGGCA
Molecule: ribosomal RNA, 420 nt
Filed under: Eimeria truttae
Lineage: Eukaryota; Apicomplexa; Conoidasida; Eucoccidiorida; Eimeriidae
Description: SSU rRNA
Rfam family: Eukaryotic small subunit ribosomal RNA
Source: RNAcentral